RNAcentral lists this ribosomal RNA (836 nucleotides) under Haptophyta environmental samples. RNAcentral's name for it is "bacterial SSU rRNA". It matches the Rfam family "Bacterial small subunit ribosomal RNA", at positions 481 to 1325 of the family's 1533-position model. Lineage: Eukaryota; Haptophyta. The record is from RNAcentral.
GAGGAAUAAGCAUCGGCUAACUCCGUGCCAGCAGCCGCGGUAAUACGGGGGAUGCAAGCGUUAUCCGGAAUCAUUGGGCGUAAAGCGCCUGUAGGUGGUUUAGUAAGUCUGUUGUUAAAGCCUAGGGCUUAACCCUAGAAAAGCAAUGGAAACUACUAGGCUAGAGUAUGGUAGGGGUAGAGGGAAUUUCUAGUGUAGCGGUGAAAUGCGUAGAUAUUAGAAAGAACACCGGUGGCGAAAGCGCUCUACUGGACCAUUACUGACACUCAGAGGCGAAAGCUAGGGUAGCAAAAGGGAUUAGAUACCCCUGUAGUCCUAGCCGUAAACGAUGGAUACUAGAUGUUGUGUUUAUUUCACAGUGUCGUAGCUAACGCGUUAAGUAUCCCGCCUGGGGAGUACGCUCGCAAGGGUGAAACUCAAAGGAAUUGACGGGGGCCCGCACAAGCGGUGGAGCAUGUGGUUUAAUUCGAUGCAACGCGAAGAACCUUACCAGGGCUUGACAUACUACAGAUCUUUUUGAGAAAAAAGAGUGCCUUCGGGAAUGUAGAUACAGGUGGUGCAUGGCUGUCGUCAGCUCGUGUCGUGAGAUGUUGGGUUAAGUCCCGCAACGAGCGCAACCCUUAUUUUUAGUUACCAACUUGUUGGGUUAUCUAGAAAGACUGCCGGUGACAAACCGGAGGAAGGUGAGGAUGACGUCAAGUCAGCAUGCCCCUUAUGUCCUGGGCUACACACGUGCUACAAUGGUUAAGACAAAGAGUUGCGAGUUCGUGAGAACCAGCUAAUCUCGUAAACUUAGCCUAAGUUCAGAUUGUAGGCUGCAACUCGCCUACGUGAAG